AAUGCACCUUGCACCCUUUGGUAUUCCGAAGGGUAUGCCUGUUUGAGUGUCAUUAAAUUCUCAACUUCAAAAACAUUUUUGUUAAUGUUAUUGAAGCUUGGAUUAUGGAGGUCUAUUUGCCGGCGUCAUUGUCAGCUCCUCUUAAAUGCAUUAGUGGAACUUUGGAAAGGACCAGCAUUGGUUUGAUAAAAUCUCUAUCUAGCCAAGGAUUGCUGUGGACUUGAUUGUGUUCUGCUUCUAAUGGUCCUUUUGGACUGUCUCUGAUGAGGCAUAGAAAAAUUUAUUUAAGCUUGACCUCAAAUCAGGUAGGACUACCCGCUGAACUUAA
RNAcentral lists this unclassified non-coding RNA (328 nucleotides) under uncultured fungus. RNAcentral describes it as "partial contains 5.8S ribosomal RNA, internal transcribed spacer 2, and large subunit ribosomal RNA". Lineage: Eukaryota; Fungi. The record is from RNAcentral.